AGCGUACACGGUGGAUGCCCUGGCAGUCAGAGGCGAUGAAGGACGUGCUAAUCUGCGAUAAGCGUCGGUAAGGUGAUAUGAACCGUUAUAACCGGCGAUUUCCGAAUGGGGAAACCCAGUGUGUUUCGACACACUAUCAUUAACUGAAUCCAUAGGUUAAUGAGGCGAACCGGGGGAACUGAAACAUCUAAGUACCCCGAGGAAAAGAAAUCAACCGAGAUUCCCCCAGUAGCGGCGAGCGAACGGGGAGGAGCCCAGAGCCUGAAUCAGUGUGUGUGUUAGUGGAAGCGUCUGGAAAGGCGCGCGAUACAGGGUGACAGCCCCGUACACAAAAAUGCACAUGCUGUGAGCUCGAUGAGUAGGGCGGGACACGUGGUAUCCUGUCUGAAUAUGGGGGGACCAUCCUCCAAGGCUAAAUACUCCUGACUGACCGAUAGUGAACCAGUACCGUGAGGGAAAGGCGAAAAGAACCCCGGCGAGGGGAGUGAAAAAGAACCUGAAACCGUGUACGUACAAGCAGUAGGAGCACAGAGCAAUCUGUGUGACUGCGUACCUUUUGUAUAAUGGGUCAGCGACUUAUAUUCUGUAGCAAGGUUAACCGAAUAGGGGAGCCGAAGGGAAACCGAGUCUUAACUGGGCGUUAAGUUGCAGGGUAUAGACCCGAAACCCGGUGAUCUAGCCAUGGGCAGGUUGAAGGUUGGGUAACACUAACUGGAGGACCGAACCGACUAAUGUUGAAAAAUUAGCGGAUGACUUGUGGCUGGGGGUGAAAGGCCAAUCAAACCGGGAGAUAGCUGGUUCUCCCCGAAAGCUAUUUAGGUAGCGCCUCGUGAAUUCAUCUCCGGGGGUAGAGCACUGUUUCGGCAAGGGGGUCAUCCCGACUUACCAACCCGAUGCAAACUGCGAAUACCGGAGAAUGUUAUCACGGGAGACACACGGCGGGUGCUAACGUCCGUCGUGAAGAGGGAAACAACCCAGACCGCCAGCUAAGGUCCCAAAGUCAUGGUUAAGUGGGAAACGAUGUGGGAAGGCCCAGACAGCCAGGAUGUUGGCUUAGAAGCAGCCAUCAUUUAAAGAAAGCGUAAUAGCUCACUGGUCGAGUCGGCCUGCGCGGAAGAUGUAACGGGGCUAAACCAUGCACCGAAGCUGCGGCAGCGACACUGUGUGUUGUUGGGUAGGGGAGCGUUCUGUAAGCCUGUGAAGGUGUGCUGUGAGGCAUGCUGGAGGUAUCAGAAGUGCGAAUGCUGACAUAAGUAACGAUAAAGCGGGUGAAAAGCCCGCUCGCCGGAAGACCAAGGGUUCCUGUCCAACGUUAAUCGGGGCAGGGUGAGUCGACCCCUAAGGCGAGGCCGAAAGGCGUAGUCGAUGGGAAACAGGUUAAUAUUCCUGUACUUGGUGUUACUGCGAAGGGGGGACGGAGAAGGCUAUGUUGGCCGGGCGACGGUUGUCCCGGUUUAAGCGUGUAGGCUGGUUUUCCAGGCAAAUCCGGAAAAUCAAGGCUGAGGCGUGAUGACGAGGCACUACGGUGCUGAAGCAACAAAUGCCCUGCUUCCAGGAAAAGCCUCUAAGCAUCAGGUAACAUCAAAUCGUACCCCAAACCGACACAGGUGGUCAGGUAGAGAAUACCAAGGCGCUUGAGAGAACUCGGGUGAAGGAACUAGGCAAAAUGGUGCCGUAACUUCGGGAGAAGGCACGCUGAUAUGUAGGUGAAGUCCCUCGCGGAUGGAGCUGAAAUCAGUCGAAGAUACCAGCUGGCUGCAACUGUUUAUUAAAAACACAGCACUGUGCAAACACGAAAGUGGACGUAUACGGUGUGACGCCUGCCCGGUGCCGGAAGGUUAAUUGAUGGGGUCAGCGCAAGCGAAGCUCUUGAUCGAAGCCCCGGUAAACGGCGGCCGUAACUAUAACGGUCCUAAGGUAGCGAAAUUCCUUGUCGGGUAAGUUCCGACCUGCACGAAUGGCGUAAUGAUGGCCAGGCUGUCUCCACCCGAGACUCAGUGAAAUUGAACUCGCUGUGAAGAUGCAGUGUACCCGCGGCAAGACGGAAAGACCCCGUGAACCUUUACUAUAGCUUGACACUGAACAUUGAGCCUUGAUGUGUAGGAUAGGUGGGAGGCUUUGAAGUGUGGACGCCAGUCUGCAUGGAGCCGACCUUGAAAUACCACCCUUUAAUGUUUGAUGUUCUAACGUGGACCCGUGAUCCGGGUUGCGGACAGUGUCUGGUGGGUAGUUUGACUGGGGCGGUCUCCUCCUAAAGAGUAACGGAGGAGCACGAAGGUUGGCUAAUCCUGGUCGGACAUCAGGAGGUUAGUGCAAUGGCAUAAGCCAGCUUGACUGCGAGCGUGACGGCGCGAGCAGGUGCGAAAGCAGGUCAUAGUGAUCCGGUGGUUCUGAAUGGAAGGGCCAUCGCUCAACGGAUAAAAGGUACUCCGGGGAUAACAGGCUGAUACCGCCCAAGAGUUCAUAUCGACGGCGGUGUUUGGCACCUCGAUGUCGGCUCAUCACAUCCUGGGGCUGAAGUAGGUCCCAAGGGUAUGGCUGUUCGCCAUUUAAAGUGGUACGCGAGCUGGGUUUAGAACGUCGUGAGACAGUUCGGUCCCUAUCUGCCGUGGGCGCUGGAGAACUGAGGGGGGCUGCUCCUAGUACGAGAGGACCGGAGUGGACGCAUCACUGGUGUUCGGGUUGUCAUGCCAAUGGCACUGCCCGGUAGCUAAAUGCGGAAGAGAUAAGUGCUGAAAGCAUCUAAGCACGAAACUUGCCCCGAGAUGAGUUCU
This 2774-nucleotide ribosomal RNA is filed under the name Escherichia coli O157. Its description in RNAcentral is "bacterial LSU rRNA". It matches the Rfam family "Bacterial large subunit ribosomal RNA". The record is from RNAcentral. Lineage: Bacteria; Pseudomonadati; Pseudomonadota; Gammaproteobacteria; Enterobacterales; Enterobacteriaceae.